ACGGGUGAGUUACGCGUAUGCAACCUGCCCAUAGCUGGAGAAUAGCCCGAAGAAAUUCGGAUUAAUACUCCAUAAUAUUUCAAAUUCGCAUGUUUUUGAAAUUAAAAUUCCGAUGGCUAUGGAUGGGCAUGCGUGCCAUUAGCUUGUUGGUGAGGUAACGGCUCACCAAGGCUACGAUGGCUAGGGGUUCUGAGAGGAUGAUCCCCCACACUGGUACUGAGACACGGACCAGACUCCUACGGGAGGCAGCAGUGAGGAAUAUUGGUCAAUGGGCGCAAGCCUGAACCAGCCAUGCCGCGUGCAGGAUGACUGCCCUAUGGGUUGUAAACUGCUUUUGUACAGGAAGAACCUUCUGCUCGUGAGCGGAAUUGACGGUACUGUACGAAUAAGCAUCGGCUAACUCCGUGCCAGCAGCCGCGGUAAUACGGAGGAUGCAAGCGUUAUCCGGAUUCACUGGGUUUAAAGGGUGCGUAGGCGGGAUAGUAAGUCGAUGGUGAAAGCCUGCAGCUUAACUGUAGAAUUGCCAUUGAUACUGCUAUUCUUGAGUGCAGUUGAAGUAAGCGGAAUGUGUAAUGUAGCGGUGAAAUGCAUAGAUAUUACACAGAACACCAAUUGUGAAGGCAGCUUACUAAGCUGAAACUGACGCUGAGGCACGAAAGCGUGGGGAGCGAACAGGAUUAGAUACCCUGGUAGACCACGCUGUAACCUAU
This 710-nucleotide ribosomal RNA is filed under the name uncultured organism. Its description in RNAcentral is "bacterial SSU rRNA". It matches the Rfam family "Bacterial small subunit ribosomal RNA", at positions 102 to 810 of the family's 1533-position model. The record is from RNAcentral.